AGUGAACGCUGGCGGCGUGCUUAACACAUGCAAGUCGAACGAGAACGGAAUAUAGCUUGCUAUAUUUGUCAGCAAAGUGGCGCAAGGGUGAGUAAUGUAUAGAUAACCUGCCCUUAAGAAAGGAAAAACAGUUGGAAACGACUGCUAAUGCCCUAUAUGCCUUUAAUACAUAAGUAUGCAAGGGAAACGCUUUAGUGCUUAAGGAUGGGUGUGUAUGGUAUCAGCUUGUUGUUGAGGUAAUGGCUCACCAAGGCUAUGACGGCGAACUGGUUUGAGAGGAUGAUAAGUCACACUGGAACGGAGACACGGUCCAGACUCCUACGAGAGGCAGCAGUGGGGAAUAUUGCACAAUGGACGAAAGUCUGAUGCAGCAACGCCGCGUGGAGGAUGACACAUUUCGGUGCGUAAACUCCUUUUAUAUAGGAAGAUAAUGACGGUACUAUAUGAAUAAGCACCGGCUAACUCCGUGCCAGCCGCCGCCGUAA
This 485-nucleotide ribosomal RNA is filed under the name uncultured bacterium. RNAcentral describes it as "partial 16S ribosomal RNA". It matches the Rfam family "Bacterial small subunit ribosomal RNA", at positions 29 to 523 of the family's 1533-position model. The record is from RNAcentral.